Molecule: long non-coding RNA, 327 nt
Filed under: Mytilus galloprovincialis (Mediterranean mussel)
Lineage: Eukaryota; Metazoa; Mollusca; Bivalvia; Mytilida; Mytilidae
Source: RNAcentral
CUUUGAUAACUAUUUACACCACUGGGUCGAUGUCACUGCUGGUGGACGUUUCGUCCCCGAGGGUAUCACCAGCCCAGUAGUCAGCACUUCAGUGUUGACAUGAAUAUCAAUUAUGUGGUCAUUUUUAUAAAUUUCCUGUUUACAAAACUUUGAAUUUUUAGAAAAAACUAAGGAUUUUCUUAUCCCAGGAAUAAAUUACCUUAGCCGUAUUUGGCACAACUUUUUGGAAUUUUGGAUCCUCAAUACUCUUCAACUUUGUAUUUGUUUGGCUUUACAACUAUUUUGAUAUGAGCGUCACUGAUGAGUCUUAUGUAGACGAAACGCGCG